This 228-nucleotide unclassified non-coding RNA is filed under the name plant metagenome. Its description in RNAcentral is "partial contains small subunit ribosomal RNA, internal transcribed spacer 1, and 5.8S ribosomal RNA". The record is from RNAcentral.
UCUCCGUUGGUGAACCAGCGGAGGGAUCAUUACAGAGUUCCACAACUCCCAACCCCUGCGAACCGUACCCCAGUUUGUUCUCGUUGCCUCCUGGCGGCGGGCCCCCGGCGCCACCGCCGGGGCCCCCGCCAGCGGCGGCAAGCCCCCUGAACCUUUUUUUCUCAACCAGCCCUUCUGAGCAAACAAACAAAUGAAUCAAAACUUUCAACAACGGAUCUCUUGGUUCUG